RNAcentral lists this ribosomal RNA (433 nucleotides) under uncultured bacterium. RNAcentral describes it as "partial 16S ribosomal RNA". It matches the Rfam family "Bacterial small subunit ribosomal RNA", at positions 29 to 508 of the family's 1533-position model. The record is from RNAcentral.
AACGAACGCUGGCGGCAUGCCUAACAUAUGCAAGUCGAACGAGACCUUCGGGUCUAGUGGCGCACGGGUGCGUAACGCGUGGGAACCUGCCCUUAGGUUCGGAAUAACUCCCCGAAAGGGGUGCUAAUACCGGAUAAUGUCUUCGGACCAAAGAUUUAUCGCCUUUGGAUGGGCCCGCGUUGGAUUAGCUAGUUGGUAGGGUAAAAGCCUACCAAGGCGACGAUCCAUAGCUGGUCUGAGAGGAUGAUCAGCCACACUGGGACUGAGACACGGCCCAGACCCCUCCGGGGGGCGGCAGGGGGGAUUAUUGGACAGUGGCCAAACGCUUAACCCACCAUUGCCGCGUGAGAAAUGAAGCCCUUGGGGUUGAAAACUUUUUUUCCCGGGAAGAAAAAGCACAGUCCGGGAAAAAAAGCCCCCGCCUACCCCCGUC